GCGGAGGCUGACUUGAUAGUGUAGUUGAGACAGUGGGAACUGAAGUUUGAGGCUGGAGAGCUUGCGGAAUUAUGUUGCGAGUUGCUCUAGUUGCAACCAUCUCAACCUCGAAGUCAGACUUCAAGGUAUUGAGAUCAGCCUUGAGUGCACCAGUGUUCGUCUCCAAGCCACUAAUGUAGAUCUUCAUGUCAAAGCUUCAACGUGAUAGAGACAGACUCAGAGGUACUGGAGUUCUUGAACUGAACACUUCCAUGACCAUGAAUGUUACCCUUGUGUGUAUGCCCACGCUGAAAAAGCAAAGAAUCAAACGAGCAUAAGCAGUGUGAAGUCAGUCAAGUGAAACACUAAAUAAAACUACAAUGCUCAAUGAUGUGAACAAGCUAUAACCCUACAUCUUUGAAGCAUCUACUCGAUCAUAUCCUGCAUAAGUUCAAAGAGUUAACAAGUUCACAAUCAGAAACCAAAUUUUAUCCUAAUCAGAAACGAAAUCUUAUCCUAUCACAUGUUCACAAAUUCAAUACUUAGCAAUCUACCAAUCUGAUAAGCAAGUGAGAAGAGAUUGUUGAGGUAUUCUUGGUUGAGUACCAGGCGCCCUGAAUGUGGUGUUGCAGCCGUUGAUCCAGUCUGGCGGUUGGCAAGUGGAUAUCUACCAUGUGUCAGCUCUUCAACGGCUUGCUCAACCUCCUCAACCAGGGCCUCUGCACGUUCGUCGAUGAAGGAACCAUGUUUACGUGUGUAAGUCUUCCUCACAAGAUCAGUAUAUGCAGUUGAUUACUCCAAAAACUCAUCAACCAU
Molecule: long non-coding RNA, 795 nt
Filed under: Brassica napus (rape)
Lineage: Eukaryota; Viridiplantae; Streptophyta; Magnoliopsida; Brassicales; Brassicaceae
Description: long non-coding RNA (BNAP_LNC011655)
Source: RNAcentral